CACAUGUGGCCGCGAGGAGCACAUCUCCUCCACCAGGGCACCGAUGUGCUCGCGUCGGUGACGAUGAGGAGGAUGGAGGAAGGCGGUAGCACAAAAAGCUAAUCUCUUCUUCUUCUUCUUCUUUUGGUACCAAAUCAGCUCUUGAACACUGCAUUGGAAGGCUUUCCUCUCUCUCCAUCUCCAUCCCUCUCUCCUCCUCCUCCUCCUCCUCUUCUUCUUUUCUGCCACAUUCGCGCGCGCGCGCGCUCCCUCCACGCGCAGCCCGGGCGCGCACACGAGGACCCUGCUCGCCCGUGCGUCGCGCAGGAGCCCCUCAUCUACACGCCGACGGUGCCCGCGCCCGCCUGUGUGAUCGCCGGCUGCCUGGCGUCCGUCCCCGCCGCCGCGCUGGAUGCUCUGCGCAGAGGACGUUCCGCCUCCGCCGGCGACUGCGUCGAUGUCCGCGGCGCGAUCCAAGCCCGGUUCCCUUUUGGCAUAUUAACUUUUGCAACGCGUGACCUUCUUAUUUUUUCCCUUUUUUUCCUGGAGAAGAGGGGCGGGGGGGUGGACCUGUUCUGACAUCAUGCUUUCCAUCGGGUGAUGGGGGGGGAAAAAAACCCUGUUUGACUUCCAGCAUCCAACUUGGGACUUGAUGGCACAGUCUUUCGCGGCGGCUCUGGAAAGUUGCACUGCGUCAGGCGCGCAAACUUUACAAGCUUCUCCCUUUUUUUGUGUGUGUGAUUAUUAUUAGUAUUAUAUAAAAUAAAUAAAUAAAUGAAUGAAUGCAGGUGAGUCAGCCGUUGACUGAGAGGCGCGCGGAGCUCCACGCCCCCCCCAGGUGCUGGGGGAAGGAAAAAGGAAAGAGACGACAAACCGGAGGGAAGUCGUGAUCGGAUUGCAGGACGGGAACGGACCGAUGAGACAACAUGGGUCCGCUGUUGUGUGAUGGACGACUGACACACCUCCUCUUUCCUCUCCUCCUCCUCCUGCGGGCUCCCCUGUUGUUCAGCUUCGGUGAGCGCACCUGCCCCAAUAGCUGCCGAUGUGAGGGGAAAACUGUCCAUUGUGAUUCAUCUGGCUUCAUAGAUGUCCCAGAAAACAUCUCAAUAGGCUGCCAGGGCCUCUCCCUGCGCUACAAUGAACUGCACACACUGCUACCGUAUCAAUUUGCUCACCUCAGCCAGCUUCUCUGGAUAUACUUGGACCACAAUCAGAUUUCAGCUGUGGACAGUCGAGCAUUCCAGGGGGUCCGCAGGCUUAAAGAGCUAAUACUGAGCUCCAACAGGAUCACGUCCCUGCACAAUUCAACAUUCCAUGGAAUACCCAAUCUUCGCAGUCUGGACCUGUCCUACAACAAAUUGGAAAACCUGCAGCCAGGUCAGUUCCAUGGCUUACGAAAAUUGCAAAAUCUACAUCUACGCUCAAACGGUCUCUCCAACAUCCCGAUUCGAGCAUUCCUAGAGUGCCGAAGUUUGGAAUUUCUUGAUUUGGGCUACAAUCGAAUCAAGGCUCUUACUCGCACCACCUUUUUGGGCCUACAGAAGCUUAUGGAGUUGCAUCUGGAGCACAACCAGUUCUCACGGAUCAACUUUUUUCUGUUUCCACGGCUAGCCAACCUGAGAUCAUUGUACUUGCAGUGGAACCGCAUUAAGGUGGUAAACCAGGGCCUCCCGUGGACUUGGUAUACACUGCAGAAGCUUGAUCUGUCAGGAAAUGAAAUCCAGACCCUGGACCCUGCCGUUUUUCACUGCUUGCCCAACCUUCAAGUCCUAAACCUGGAAUCCAACAAACUGUCCAAUGUGUCUCAGGAGGCAGUGUCAGCAUGGAUCUCACUGACCUCCAUCAGCCUCGCAGGAAACAUGUGGGAUUGUGGAACUGGCAUAUGCCCCCUCGUGGCUUGGUUGAGGAAUUUCCGGGGCAGUAAAGACACCACUAUGAUAUGCAGCAGCCCAAAGUAUCUCCAGGGAGAAAAAAUUAUGGAAGCCACAAGGAACCAUGGUAUUUGUGAGGAAACUGACUAUGUUCUGACUGAAACACCCUCACCAAUGUCAGAGCUCAUUUCUGAAGCCACUGCUGAACCUACUUUUGGCCCUACUGGCACCUCUCCACCUAUGCCACCAAGCAGCACCUUUGGUCCUCUGCCACCAUUCAGACCUCGACCUAUUCCUCAUCCUACCUUGCCAGUGCAUAUGAACAAAGACCCUAGAGACUCAGUAGCUCGCACUCGACCCACUAUCAUACCACCACCAGUGAUAGAGCACAUGACUCUGCACAAAGUGGUGGUAGGCGGUGUGGCACUCUUCUUCACCAUGUCCCUAAUCUUGACGGUUAUCUAUGUGCUGUGGCGGCGCUACCCAGGCGCAACCAGGUUGCUGCAGCAGCGGUCCAUGGUGGGACGGAAGCGUCGCAAAAAGAGUCCAGAGCCGGAGCAGAACCUGAGCUCCCAGCUCCAAGAGUAUUACAUGAGCUACAACCCUGCAGCCACACCAGAAGCAUUGGAGGUGCUAGGCAAUGGCACUGGUUCCUGCACUUGCACAAUUUCUGGCUCCAGGGAGUGUGAGGUAUGAUCCAUCGCAUCAGCCUAAAAAUAAAAACUCUAAAUCAAAAUACAAAGGCUCAACAGAGAGAAUGAGUACACGUGUCCGCGCCCCCUACCCGGUGCCUGGCUGGGAGACGUGCCCACCAUCCGCUGACCUUACGAGAAGAGCCGGGAGCUGGAGGUUCUUUUCCCGCUUCGGACGGUUGCCAGGGAUACCGGAGGCCGGCGCGCGAAGGACAAACCCCGUGAGGAUGCUGGCUCCCAUCGUCCGCUUUCAAGACAUACGUUUAAAACAAGGACAUCAAAGAGGAGAAAAUGCUGUUGUUGUUGUUGUUAGUUUUUCUUCUUCUUCUUCUUUUUCUUAAGAUUUUAUAACGUCCUUUUUUGGCCUGUGGUCAUCGAUCAUCAGCUUUUUCUUUUGCGGUGCGUCACGCUCUCGACCGCACGAACAGGCCGCUCCGCCGUCAAGAGUUCGUCGUCUCCGCGAGGCCUGGACCGUCUCAAGGAGGCUUGACAAAGGGAGAAAAACUGGGCAAUGAAUUGUUGACUGCACACGCACGCGAACGCGUGGCUCCGCGCCUGCGCCGCCAGAACGCGUGCGCGUGCCACUCAGAGUGGGUUUGCAUCGCGGCCGCCGUCUCUCGCUCAUUUGGGGUUUCAUCAGAAACACUGAAUCAAAGUGCUACAGGAUUUCCGUGCACCCGUCAGUCAGUGGCGAGGAAUCUGCUCCAAUGUGGGGGGGGGGGGGGGGGGGGGGGGGGGGGGGGGACUGCUGGAAGAACUUGUUUUAAGGAAUUGUGGAAGAGUUGCCUGAAGGGAAGCAAACGUCCGUCAGUCAAUGACGUGUGGUGAAGGUUUGUUUUUUUUUUUUUGGGGGGG
RNA transcript from Scophthalmus maximus (turbot), 3397 nucleotides. It is a transcript of the gene named leucine rich repeat transmembrane neuronal 4 like 1, with no coding region annotated. The transcript has 3 exons. NCBI's taxonomy places the organism in Eukaryota, Metazoa, Chordata, Actinopteri, Pleuronectiformes, Scophthalmidae. The record is from RefSeq and is a predicted model, not a curated record.